UUUCCCGAAGACAGAAGUAAAUAUGACGCAUGUCUUUGUUUCUGUGUACGGGUUCAG
Oreochromis aureus is the source of this 57-nucleotide microRNA precursor. NCBI's taxonomy places the organism in Eukaryota, Metazoa, Chordata, Actinopteri, Cichliformes, Cichlidae. The record is from Ensembl.